Molecule: long non-coding RNA, 380 nt
Organism: Bactrocera neohumeralis
Lineage: Eukaryota; Metazoa; Arthropoda; Insecta; Diptera; Tephritidae
Exons: 2
Source: RefSeq, a predicted model, not a curated record
AAUAAAUAAAUAAAAAUCAACUGCGACGUUGUUAUUACUGAAAAAACAUCAAUAGAAAUGUAUCUCACAGAUUUACCGAUAUUUUCGGUAAAAAGUCAUGACCACUGUCCAAGUUUUACAAUGGGUCCUUCGUUCCUUUUCGGACCGUUAUGUAGUGAAUAGGGGAAGCUAACAUCCGAUUUCACCCAUCUUCAUACUGUAUGAGGAGAUAGUAGAAAACGUUUAUGCAGUAAGUUUUGUUAAAUAACAUUAGUAAGGCGGGCCGUGUCCUUUCAAAAACGUUUGAAUCCUACCACAAUUGAAUGUACUAAAUUAUACUUUUGUAUUUUAAUUUAUAAUUCAUCUGUAAAAUACACUAACCUUCUUAUUGUAUCAACGAA